Molecule: ribosomal RNA, 469 nt
Filed under: uncultured bacterium
Lineage: Bacteria
Description: partial 16S ribosomal RNA
Rfam family: Bacterial small subunit ribosomal RNA
Source: RNAcentral
GACGAACGCUGGCGGCGUGCUUAACACAUGCAAGUCGAACGGAAAGGCCCUGCUUGCAGGGUGCUCGAGUGGCGAACGGGUGAGUAACACGUGGGUGAUCUGCCCCUUACUUUGGGAUAAGCCUGGGAAACUGGGUCUAAUACUGGAUAGGACCAUGCUGUAGGUGGUGUGGUGGAAAGAUUAGUUUCGGUAAGGGAUGAGCUCGCGGCCUAUCAGCUUGUUGGUGGGGUAAUGGCCUACCAAGGCGUCGACGGGUAGCCGGCCUGAGAGGGUGGACGGCCACAUUGGGACUGAGAUACGGGCCAGACUCCUACGGGAGGCAGCAGUGGGGGAUAGUGCACAAUGGGCGCAAGCCGGAUGCAGCGACGCCGCGUGGGGGAUGACGGCCUUCGGGUUGUAAACUCCUUUCAGCCAUGACGAAGCCCUUGUGGUGACGGUAGUGGUAGAAGAAGCACCGGCUAACUACGUG